GUGCUCAAUUCAGCAGCACAUACACUAAAACUGGAACAAUAAAGAGAAGAUUAGCAUGGGCUCUAUGCAAGGGUGACACACAAAUUCAGGAAGCAUAUCAUAUUUAA
Small nuclear RNA from Cavia porcellus (domestic guinea pig), 107 nucleotides. Lineage: Eukaryota; Metazoa; Chordata; Mammalia; Rodentia; Caviidae. The record is from Ensembl.